Molecule: long non-coding RNA, 331 nt
Organism: Columba livia (rock pigeon)
Lineage: Eukaryota; Metazoa; Chordata; Aves; Columbiformes; Columbidae
Exons: 3
Source: RefSeq, a predicted model, not a curated record
CCGCUCCUCUACUCCUUAUACGCCGUCCUGGUGCAUGGAGGUGGCAGCUGCCGUGCAGGACACUACUUCUGCUACAUAAAGGCCAGUGAUGGACUGUGGUACCACAUGGACGACAAGUCUGUGGAUCUUUGCGACAGUGACACAGUCCUCAGGCAGCAAGCCUAUUUACUGUUUUACAUCAGGUGCUCUGAUUUGGAAGUUGGACAAAGGGCUUCUUCCUCACCAGCACCAUCAGAAGCCCGUUCCCUCCUCAGUCAGUGGGCGGCCGGCAGCAAGCAGGUGCGUUCUGUGGGACAGCAGCAUCUGCCCCAUAGGACUAAGGCGGCUGUGG